Molecule: long non-coding RNA, 5755 nt
Filed under: Vitis vinifera (wine grape)
Lineage: Eukaryota; Viridiplantae; Streptophyta; Magnoliopsida; Vitales; Vitaceae
Description: long non-coding RNA (VVIN_LNC006446)
Source: RNAcentral
CAAGGCCUUGGAAUUAAUGGAUGCAUGUUUGGAAGAUUCAUGUGUUGCAUCACAGGUAUUACGAUGCAUACAAGUAGGUUUACUAUGUGUUCAGAACCUUCCAGCAGACAGACCAGCAAUGUCAUCAGUGAUUUUCAUGUUGGGUAAUGAGGGAGCAACAUUGCCUCAACCUAAACAUCCUGGUUUCUUCACGGAAAGAAGUUCAGUGGAUACAGAUACAAUGUCAGGAAAGAUAGAGUUACAUUCAGAAAAUGAAGUAACCAUCUCAAAGCUAAAAGGUAGAUGGAGAAUUCAAACAUCUGCUUAGUGAAUUAGUUAUGCAGGUGCCAGCUUCUCUGACUGAAACGGCUUGCAAAGGUUCCUCUGUUGCAGCUCAGGGCACUGAAAUCUGCAACUUAAGACUCACUAGUAGAAUUUCUAAAUUCAGAUUCCCUCUGGAUCUGGUUGGUAGUAAGCAGAAGAACAUGUAUUCUACAGUCACUUUAUAUUCCACUUGUUGUAGAAGCCCAAUUGGGGCUACAGCCGAACGCCCAUUAAAAGCCCAAACCAAUUGAGCCUAGAGGAUGAGUGACAAAGCCCAAUGCAAUCUCAAGGCAAGGUGUUUGUACCUUGCAUUUGAUCCACUGAGCUUUAAAAGCAAAGGUGAGGCCAUUGAGCUCUAUGUCAUGCUAAAGUAAUAGCGUUGUAAAAUUAAAUACAUAGCAAGAUUAAUGGUUUUUCUUCAAAAAAUUUUUAUGUAAAUGUUUACAUUCAUGUUUAUUUUCAUAAUAAUAAUUAUUAAAUUAAUAUAAUAAUUUUAAAAUAAUAAAAUAUAAAAAUAAAGAGAUAAAGUUAAAUAUUAUGAUUUUCUUUUUGUCUUAAACAUAUCUUUAUAUUUAAAUAUUAUAUAUGUUCUAUUUAAUAAAUUUUAAAAUAUUAAUAUAUUUAUAUUUAUCUUUAUAAUUUAAUUUGGUAUGUGCAAUAUAAAACUGAAAUAUUAUUAAAAUUUGUAAUUAUAUAUUUUAAAUUUCUUAUAAUUUUUUUUUUGUAUAAUCUAUAAAUUAUAAAAUUAUUAUUUUACCAGUUUUCGUGAAUGUAACAACCUACAUCUCACAACUUUAAAACAUAUUUACAAAUUAAGAACUCAUACAUAUAUAGCGCCAAGAUAAAGGAGAAAGUUUCUAACACUAUAUAAGCAUAAACUCUUUUUAACUACAAAGCUUUAAAAAUUUUUGCGAAACAUUAACUUGAAUGCUAGACAGUUGCAAACCUUAGUGGGAGUUUUCAAAUUUUUUAAGAGAGAGAAUCAUGGUUUAAAUAUUGGUAAAUAUGGAAUAUUUGUACCUAAAUUUUACAGAUAUAUUGGAAAUAUCGGUGAAUAUUUUGACAAAAAUAUUGAUAAGACAAAAAUUAUUCAAAAUUUAUAAAAAUAUUUUUAAAAAUUAAAAAAAUGAUAAAAUAAAUAAAAAUACACAUGUUAAAGUUAUUUUCUAAACAUAAUUGAUAUAGAUAUGAUCAAAUAGAAAAAUAUCGAUAAGUAAGGAUAAAUCAAUCUUAAUAAUUUAUUAUUUAUCCAAUCAAAUUAAUUUUAAUUUAUAAAAUAUUAGAAUUUCAUUAUUUUUGAAUAAAUUUAUAUUUUUAAUAUUUUAAACACAUUCCUAUGCGAAAAUAUCAGAUACUUUUUAAAUAACAAUGAAAAGUUCUUACAAAAAAUAUAUCUUAAUAAGAAAAUAUCAAAGACUUACAUAUUAUUUCGAAAAGAAAUUUAAAACACUUUCCAACAUAUAAAGUGCUUUAUUCAACCAAUAGUAACAAAGACGAGCUUUGACUUGGACUGAAAGCCUGGCCAAGUAAAAAACUGAAACCUUGUCCUCUUGAUGCUGUGUCUUGGACAAAUUCCAGGAAAAACCUACAUUAGAGAAAUUUUAGUAUUUUUUAAAACUAGUGUAUAGAAGUCUUCCUUUCAUCUGUGAGAAGCGUCAAUGGAGACCCAUCUUUUCUUUGCCUUCUUUUGUGCCUGGAUUUGUCUCUCAGUUCCGUUGGAGUCCUGUAUUCCAGCUGAUUCCAUAAGGAUUGACCAACCCAUAGGCGAUGGUGAGACUUUAGUUUCCUCAGGCCAAAGCUUUGAACUAGGCUUCUUCUCUCCUGGCAGCUCCAAAAACAGGUACUUAGGAAUAUGGUACAAGAAUACACCCCGGAUAGUUGUAUGGGUUGCAAACAGAAACAACCCGAUCGCAGAUUUGUAUGGAGUUUUAACCAUCUUCAACAAUGGCGCACUUGUUCUUCUCAACCAGUCAAAGAGUGUAAUCUGGUCUCCCAAUUUGUCAAAGGUACCAGAAAAUCCAGUUGCACAGCUCCUGGAGACUGGAAAUCUUGUUCUCAGGGACAGUAGUAAUGAAAGUUCUGAAAGCUAUAUAUGGCAGAGCUUUGAUGAUCCAUCAGACACAAUGUUGCCAGGCAUGAAGGUGGGAUGGAACUUAAAGACUGGUCUACAACGAAAAUUGACAUCAUGGAAAAGUGCUGAUGACCCAUCCCUUGGAGACUUCUCCUACGGAUUUGAUAUUAAUGUGCUGCCUUAUGUGGUUCUCGGUGUGGGAUCAAGGAAAAUAGUCCGUUCCGGGCCAUGGAAUGGACUUGAAUUCAAUGGUGUUUAUGUGUUGGACAACUCGGUUUACAAAGCAGUUUUUGCUGCCAACAACGAUGAGGUAUAUGCCCUCUAUGAGUGUCACAACAAUAAGAUCCUUUCAAGACUAACAUUGAACCAUUCAGGUUUCAUCCAGCGUCUGGUAUUAAAAAAAGGGAGCUCUGAAUGGGAUGAAUUGUACUCAAUUCCCGGUGAACUUUGUGAAAAUUAUGGCCAUUGUGGUGCUAAUGGUAUCUGCAGAAUUGGCAAGCUGCAGACUUGUGAGUGUUUGACGGGUUUCACACCAAAAUCACAAGAAGAAUGGGACAUGUUUAAUACAUCAAGUGGAUGCACACGAAGAAUGCCUUUGGAUUGCCAAAUUGAAAAGGGAUUUGUAAAGGUUACAGGAGUGAAAUUGCCCGACUUGAUAGACUUUCAUGUGAUUAUGGAUGUGAGCCUUAGGGAAUGCAGGGUAUCGUGCUUGAACAAUUGUUCUUGUACAGCAUAUUCCUACUCAAAAGCAUAUGCCUACUCAAAUCCUAAUGGAAACGGUGGCUGUUUGAUGUGGUCUGGGGACCUGAUUGAUAUCAGAGAGUUAACUUCAGAAAAACAUGCGGAGGACAUCUAUAUCCGCAUGCACACUUCAGAGCUGGGUAAGACACUUGAUUUUCUGUAAAUCACUUUUUGAUUGUAAGCUAUUGGGGUUGUCUCCAAUAGCCUAAGCCCUAAGUUAUCCUGGUAAAUCAAGAUGAAGAAUUACUUAGCUUCCAAAGUCAGGGAUUCAAUUUCACAAGAAGAUUAUAAUCUAGUUAAAACCAAGACCCUAUAUUAUAUUCCAGAAUAACCAUAGCUGUUAGGAUUCAGGUUAACUAAUGAUGAACUGACUUGUAAUAACCCUAACAAGCAGAAAGCAAAUAUCCAAUUCAUUUUCUGAAGAAACAGGGAAAUCUGGGGAAAUGGUUACUUCAUUCUUGUUACUGUCUGGUCCAGGGUUAAACACUUAUCAGAAGAAAAAACUAGUGAUCAUCCUUGUUAUAUCUACCUUUUCUGGAAUCCUCACCUUGGGCUUAGCAGUCUGGUUUCUAUUUCGGAAGAAGAGAACAAUGAGAACAGGUAUGCAUACUUAUCCACCUUGAUGAUUUUAUUGAAGGAACCAUGUGGUUGUGCUUUAAAAGUAGCUUCUAAAUUAUUUUCCCAUUUAACAGAUCAGGAAAGCAAGAAGGAGAAUUUAGAGUUACCUUUGUUUGACUUGCCCACCAUUGCAACUGCUACUAAAAACUUCUCCAACACCAAUAUGAUUGGAGCAGGUGGCUUUGGGUCUGUGUACAAGGUAAUAUGUGCCAUCUUAUGCAUCAGGAUAACCCAAAAAUGAUUUCAAAAGAAAGAAGAAGAGAAAAAUAAUUGCGUCUUGCACAUCAUAUUUUGCAGGGCAAUCUAUCCGGAGUAGCAGUAGCAGUGAAGAGAUUGUCCAAGAAUUCAGCACAGGGUGUGCAAGAGUUCAAGAAUGAAGUUGUUUUGAUUGCGAAACUUCAGCACAAGAAUCUUGUCAGGCUUUUGGGCUGCUGCAUUCAAGGAGAAGAAAGAAUAUUACUCUAUGAAUAUAUGCCCAACAAAAGCUUGGAUUAUUUUAUUUUCGGUUUGAGCUUCUUAUCCCUAUCUGUUAGAAUUAGUUUCAUUUUUUGAUCACCCAUAUUAUGCUCAGUCGUGUUCAACUCAAUUCACACAUCUAAGUAAUUAAUUACGCCUAAUAAAAAAAUUUUAUAAAGGUAGAUGUAUUGUGCAGAUCAAAUCAGAAGAGCAUUAUUGGCAUGGGAUAAGCGCUGCAAGAUUGUUACAGGGAUAGCACGAGGGCUUCUCUACCUCCAUCAAGACUCUAGAUUUCAAAUUAUUCACAGGGAUCUCAAGACGAGCAAUAUUUUACUGGAUGACAAUCUCAAUCCUAAAAUUUCAGACUUUGGCUUGGCAAGAAUUUUUGGAGAGAAUGAAAUGGAAACGAGAACAAAGAGAAUUGUUGGGACUUAGUAAGUUAUAAACCUUUAUAAUCUUAUAAAAUGAUAUUUAUCCCUUCAAAGAACUUACACUUGAAAAUGUUGGUGCAGUGGCUAUAUGUCCCCAGAGUAUGUGAUUGAUGGGCACUUUUCUGUCAAAUCAGAUGUCUUUAGCUUUGGUGUUCUUUUACUAGAGAUUGUUUGCGGUAAAAAGAACCGAGGGUUCUCUCAUCCAGAUCACCACCAUAACCUUCUGGGACAUGUAAGUAGAAAGAACGCAAUGGUGUUUUCUCUUUCUCUCCCUCUCUCAAUUUUUCUCUACUCUAGCUUUUUCUGGCUUUUGUGAAAGAUAAUAAAUAUGAUUUUUGCGCUAGGCAUGGCUGCUGUGGGAACAAAACAAGGCCUUGGAAUUAAUGGAUGCAUGUUUGGAAGAUUCAUGUGUUGCAUCGCAAGUAUUACGAUGCAUACAAGUAGGUUUACUAUGUGUUCAAAACCUUCCAGCAGACAGACCAGCAAUGUCAUCAGUGAUUUUCAUGUUGGGUAAUGAGGGAGCAACAUUGCCUCAACCUAAACAUCCUGGUUUCUUCACAGAAAGAUCUUCCGUGGAUACAGAUACAAUGUCAGGAAAGAUAGAGUUACAUUCAGAAAAUGCAGUAACCAUCUCAAUGCUAAAAGGUAGAUAAAGAAUUCAAACAUCUGCUUUGUGAAUUAUUUAUGCAGGUGCCAGCUUCUCUGACUAAAACGGCCUGCAAAGGUUCCUCUCUUGCGGCUCAGGGCACUGUAAUCUGCAACUUAAGACUCACUAGUAGAAUCUCUAAAUUCAGAUUCCCUCUGGAUCAGGUUGGUAAUAAGCAGAAGAACAUGUAUUCAAACAUCUGCAACUUAUGUGCUACUCUCUUUUUUUUUUUUUUGUGUCUCCUCAGGGUGCAUAGGACUUAUAAUUUGGUUCCAACCUUUUACUUUCAAUUAUCUCGAGAAUUUUUGAAGUUCUAAAGUCCUUUGAAAUAUCAAUAGGAAGUAAAGAUCAGACAAUAAAAACUAAUCAAAUAAGGCUUCUACUUGUGACUGUUAUAAAGCCAUAGGAUGAUGGCUUGCAAUAAUUUCAGGUAAAUAGGGGUAAGAAUUGAAAAUCAACAAAGACAAGUAGGAAUCAGAUGACUUCAUA